CUACCCAGUCAUCCAUCGACCAUCUACACAACACAGAAAUGGUGCCAUUAUCCGAUGAAUACCAAUUCAAAGUGUUUGUGUUGUAGACCUGCAAGUGCCUACUACCAUUUACCCAGCCAUCCAUCGACCGUCAACACAACGUAGAAAUGCGUGCCAUUCUUGGAUGAAUACACAAAGUAAUGGAGUCAGAGACCUGCGCAAGUGCCUACCAUCUAUCUACCCAGUCAUCCAUGUAGCAUCUACA
This is a long non-coding RNA of Asterias rubens (European starfish), 244 nucleotides long. RefSeq lists it as uncharacterized. The record is from RefSeq and is a predicted model, not a curated record. Lineage: Eukaryota; Metazoa; Echinodermata; Asteroidea; Forcipulatida; Asteriidae. The transcript has 3 exons.